UACGGAGGGUGCAAGCGUUAUCCGGAUUCACUGGGUUUAAAGGGUGCGUAGGCGGGCAGGUAAGUCAGUGGUGAAAUCCCCGAGCUUAACUUGGGAACUGCCGUUGAUACUAUCUGUCUUGAAUACUAUGGAGGUAAGCGGAAUAUGUCAUGUAGCGGUGAAAUGCUUAGAUAUGACAUAGAACACCAAUUGCGAAGGCAGCUCACUACACGAAUAUUGACACUGAGGCACGAAAGCGUGGGGAUCAAACAGG
Molecule: ribosomal RNA, 253 nt
Filed under: uncultured bacterium
Lineage: Bacteria
Description: partial 16S ribosomal RNA
Rfam family: Bacterial small subunit ribosomal RNA
Source: RNAcentral